Paramormyrops kingsleyae is the source of this 2114-nucleotide long non-coding RNA. RefSeq lists it as uncharacterized. The record is from RefSeq and is a predicted model, not a curated record. NCBI's taxonomy places the organism in Eukaryota, Metazoa, Chordata, Actinopteri, Osteoglossiformes, Mormyridae.
UGUGUGUGUGUGUGUGUGUGUCCUCUGAUGGCCUGGCACGCCGCUCCGGGUGUCCCGCCUUCUGUCCCGAGCGGCCUGGGAUAGGUUCCAGGCUUACUGUGUGAAGAUGGAUGAAGACGACUCAAAUGAAGAAGUAACACACUGUUAGCAGGAUGAAAGCGAUUUGACGCAAAGGUCUCAUAAACAUCUGAGCCCCACUCGGGACACCAGGAGAACCAAGUAUUACAGCUUUCUCAAACAUCAAACCCUGAUUGCUAUAAUCGUUCACGUCAUAAAAGUUCAGUCUCUGCAGUCUGCUGAUCCCCGCAGCUUCACGUCUGGAAGGCGAUUGACGGCAGCUGCCGCUUGCUCCUCACAUCCACAUCCCCGCUGGCACCGCCUUCUUGUCACAACUGCCAAUCGACUGACACCAUAUAGGAAGAAUUAAUAAUGAUUGGAGGAGUGAGUUGCCACUCACCAGCCAUCAGCCAGUAGCUCACAAGCACCUGACACUCUGGGUUCUGUGUGCAGUCUUUAAAAACCUUUCUAUCUACUACUGGUGUAGUGAAAUUAUUUUAUUCCACCACUAGGGGCUUCUGGUCACAGUCGGAACAUUGCUUUAAUCGCAGCUGACGUACUGUUUAAACCUAAAUGAUGGACUGAGCUUUAUAUGUGACCAUGAGCACAAAGAGAGACCUAUUCUGCGUAAAAACAAUCUGAAGUAGCUUGCAAAACCACCCUCUUACAUUUAGUUAAAACCAUUUAGGCUCAGUGUCAUUAAGUGCCAUCAAAGUGGCUUACACAGAACACAGAACACAGAACAGAUCUGGUUCAUGUAAUAAGGGGCAAUGUCGGAACUCUCGGUGGUGAGUUAAAACACAAUGUGUAUCUCAGUUGCUCAGGUGGUAUUUGGUUGCUCAUCUAGUCUUGGGGGAGACUGAACUGGGAGUGGGCAGAACCUUCUUGAGGAGGGAUUCCUGGCAGCAGAUGGGAGACCGAAGUUAUAAUAUGUAAGUCUAAAAUUGCAAGUGAAAACAUGAGUAUACAGACACAGAGAUUAAUUCCUGAAACAAUUAAGGGAGAUCUGAGAAGAGUGGAAGGGGUUUGAGAUGGUGAGCAGAGCCAUGUUACAGCGUGAAGAUGGCACUGGGGUGAAGAUGAAUGGGCAGAUUGGCUGCUUACGUCCUGCACCAUGGGGGCCCAUAUCUCCUCCUAUAUCUUCCCCGUUCCAUCUUAAAAGGUGGUGAUCAGUCGGAGCAUUAAGGACCUAGAAAUACAUUGUAGGAAGACAAUGUCAGAAAGGAGUGGAUCUAAUGUCACGGAUUUAAUGGUUCCAGAAGUGAUGAUUGCAGAAACAGGGGUAGAAUAAAAGUAGAAGAGAGGGCAGACAGUGGAGGACAUUAAAACUGGAGGGAGAAACAAACCGUGAAGAUUAUUUGUGUCAACACAUUGCUACCAGAUGAGACUCAGAAGAGACUUGCAGAGUGAUUCAUAAGCUGAAUAGAGACAUAGCGUAUGUCGUCCUCACUUUGCAUGUCUUUCCCUUGUCUUUGCGGCGACACACAGACAGAAAACAUAAGAACACGCUGACAGGACUCCUUGAUGACGUCACUUCACCUAAACUAGUACUGUCCAUAACAAAAGAAUCUGAGUGUCUGAUUGCCAUCUCUGUUACGAUGCUGGACUGCAUAUCUGUAAACUUGUGAUUUUACAGUGUCGCGCACUGAAUUUUAUUUAUUUAUUUUGCAAAACAGUGUUCAUAUAAUUUAACAAAACAUUGAAUAUAGUUUCCGGUCUAUUUUUUUUUAUUAUUUUAAAAUUAUUAAAUUUGUGAAACAACUAUACAGUAUUUCAAUUAUACAGUGAAUAAUAUGUAUGAACACAUGUAUGUCGACCUGGGCCUUCAGUCGAAUGUGAAUUUCUAGAUAUUAAAAUAUUCGAACUGAGAUGUAUUCUUAAAUAGCCCUUUUAUAACAGAGUAAUAUGUAUUCAUUAAAUGAUUUACUGUUUGUGUAGUGGUGUAUUAGAAUACAAUAUAUAGGUUUGAACAAGAAUGCUUAACGUAACAUCCCUUAUGUUGUGCUUACUUUUACGUAUUACAUUAUUUUGGCAGUCCAUUCAACCAGAGACUGAAC